RNAcentral lists this ribosomal RNA (391 nucleotides) under uncultured bacterium. RNAcentral's name for it is "bacterial SSU rRNA". It matches the Rfam family "Bacterial small subunit ribosomal RNA", at positions 30 to 424 of the family's 1533-position model. The record is from RNAcentral.
AUUGAACGCUGGCGGCAUGCCUUACACAUGCAAGUCGAACGGCAGCACGGGAGCAAUCCUGGUGGCGAGUGGCGAACGGGUGAGUAAUAUAUCGGAACGUGCCCAGUCGUGGGGGAUAACGUAGCGAAAGCUACGCUAAUACCGCAUACGAUCUAUGGAUGAAAGCGGGGGAUCGCAAGACCUCGCGCGAUUGGAGCGGCCGAUAUCAGAUUAGGUAGUUGGUGAGGUAAAGGCUCACCAAGCCGACGAUCUGUAGCUGGUCUGAGAGGACGACCAGCCACACUGGGACUGAGACACGGCCCAGACUCCUACGGGAGGCAGCAGUGGGGAAUUUUGGACAAUGGGCGCAAGCCUGAUCCAGCAAUGCCGCGCGCAGGAUGAAGGCCUGGUU